Molecule: ribosomal RNA, 254 nt
Filed under: uncultured bacterium
Lineage: Bacteria
Description: partial 16S ribosomal RNA
Rfam family: Bacterial small subunit ribosomal RNA
Source: RNAcentral
GACAGAGGGUGCAAACGUUGUUCGGAAUUACUGGGCGUAAAGCGCGUGUAGGCGGCCAUCUAAGUCGGGCGUGAAAUCCCACGGCUCAACCGUGGAAGUGCACUCGAAACUGGAUGGCUAGAGUCCUGGAGAGGAAGGUGGAAUGCUUGGUGUAGAGGUGAAAUUCGUAGAUAUCAAGCGGAACACCGGUGCGAAGGCGGCCUUCUGGACAGUGACUGACGCUGAGACGGCGAAAGCGUGGGGAGCAAACAGGG